CCCUUAGAUGAUUUGGGCUGCGCGCGCGCUACACUGACCCUAACAAUGAGCAACUGUCUGGCCUGAGAUGGCUGGGUAGCCUUUUCAACCCAUGUCAUGAUUGGGCUAGAUUUUUGUAAGUCUUGAUCUCUAACGAGGAAUCCCUAGUAUGCGUGAAUCAUCAAUCCAUGCAGAUUACGUCCCUGCCCUUUGUACACACCGCCCGUCGCUCCUACCGAUUGGGUGAGCCGAUGAAACUCUCGGAUGUAGGCUAUUCAUAGCCCGCAGAAGAGAUUUGAAUCGUAGCGCUUAGAGGAAGGAGAAGUCGUAACA
RNAcentral lists this ribosomal RNA (312 nucleotides) under uncultured eukaryote. Its description in RNAcentral is "partial 18S ribosomal RNA". It matches the Rfam family "Eukaryotic small subunit ribosomal RNA", at positions 1470 to 1796 of the family's 1831-position model. The record is from RNAcentral.